Molecule: small nuclear RNA, 134 nt
Organism: Protopterus annectens (West African lungfish)
Lineage: Eukaryota; Metazoa; Chordata; Ceratodontiformes; Protopteridae
Product: U4 spliceosomal RNA
Exons: 1
Source: RefSeq, a predicted model, not a curated record
UUCUUUUUGCAGUGGCAGUAUAAUAGCCAAUGAGGUUUAUCUGAGGUGUGAUUAUUACUUGGGAAAUAUUCACUCUUUUGGUACUGGCCUGUUUUUUGGAAUUGUAGUUUAGUUUUUUGGCCUGCUGCACCAGC